GUGGCAGCAGCCGCGGUAAUACGGAGGGGGCUAGCGUUGUUCGGAAUUACUGGGCGUAAAGCGCGCGUAGGCGGCUUUGUAAGUUAGAGGUGAAAGCCCAGAGCUCAACUCUGGAACUGCCUUUAAGACUGCAUCGCUAGAAUCGUGGAGAGGUGAGUGGAAUUCCGAGUGUAGAGGUGAAAUUCGUAGAUAUUCGGAAGAACACCAGUGGCGAAGGCGACUCACUGGACACGUAUUGACGCUGAGGUGCGAAAGCGUGGGGAGCAAACAGGAUUAGAUACCCCAGUAGUC
This 291-nucleotide ribosomal RNA is filed under the name uncultured Sphingomonas sp. RNAcentral's name for it is "partial 16S ribosomal RNA". It matches the Rfam family "Bacterial small subunit ribosomal RNA", at positions 505 to 795 of the family's 1533-position model. Lineage: Bacteria; Pseudomonadati; Pseudomonadota; Alphaproteobacteria; Sphingomonadales; Sphingomonadaceae. The record is from RNAcentral.